CCUACGGGAGGCAGCAGUAGGGAAUUUUCGUCAAUGGGCGCAAGCCUGAACGAGCAAUGCCGCGUGAACGAGGAAGGUCUUCGGAUCGUAAAGUUCUGUUGAAGGGGAAAAAGAGCGGAGAGAGGAAAUGGUCUCCGAUUGAUAUUACCCUUCGAGGAAGUCACGGCUAACUACGUGCCAGCAGCCGCGGUAAUACGUAGGUGGCGAUCGUUAUCCGGAAUGAUUGGGCGUAAAGGGUGCGUAGGCGGCCUGCUAAGUCUGGAGUGAAAGGUACCGGCUCAACCGGUACAGGCUCUGGAAACUGGCGGGCUAGAGAGCAGGAGAGGGCGGUGGAACUCCAUGUGUAGCGGUAAAAUGCGUAGAUAUAUGGAAGAACACCAGUGGCGAAGGCGGCCGCCUGGCCUGUUACUGACGCUGAGGCACGAAAGCGUGGGGAGCAAAUAGGAUUAGAUACUCCAGUAGUC
Molecule: ribosomal RNA, 464 nt
Filed under: uncultured bacterium
Lineage: Bacteria
Description: partial 16S ribosomal RNA
Rfam family: Bacterial small subunit ribosomal RNA
Source: RNAcentral